AAAUUUGUUCAACUCGGUGAGCAGGCAAUAAGUGUCUACGAUUGUAAACGCGGCUCUGAACGUAGCUUGCGUAUUAGGGUUUCUGAUUAGCUUUUUGUCACCUACAUUUGAUGUCGACACAGAACCAGAGUUAUAGAGAUUUGUUUCAGCUUCUUGCCAACGAUUUAUACCAGGCGGUGGAACUCCGAUUAUAAAACGAUCUUCUUUUCCGAUCUGAAGACCGAACGAUGCUCCUCCACCGUUCAAGUCCGGUACCGAUUCUGGGAGGCCAGAAACGUCCCGGCGCGGCGGCGAACGCAUGGGAGUUGAUAUGUUUCUGCUUGAUUCCCAGCAAAAGCUCCUGCAGCGCUUCCACCAUCAAGAUAUGUGUUUUGUAUUUUUAAGUCAUGGGUUUUCUGCAAGUACUCCUCUACACAACAGCAUCACAAAUUGAGGUGUAAUCUCAAGACGAGUUUGAUGGUUCUGAAUUGAGUUUUUCCAUGAGCAUCUUAUAUUUCGCACAAGGCAUGAAAGUUUAUGUUUUCAUGAACAUCUUACUUACUCAGCUUUGUAUAAGAUAUUGAAAACAUGAUCUGUAAUUUGGUCCUCUGUGAUUCCUUGAACCAACCUAUUGGUUUUUGUUCGACCUCUGUCUUUUCCUGAGCUAAAACCUUAUUUUGGCAUUUUUUUCAGAUUUAUAGGAACUUCUGCCCGGAACAUGGAAAACCUUGACAGUACACCGAGGCUGAAAGCUAGCUUCAAUUUGUAGAAAGAACGCUGGGUAGAAACAUCUGUCUCCCAUUGCACCAACUACAUUCGGGAUACGACGGUUGAUGCUUUAAAAACCUUCGUCUGCGAAACUGGUGCCGGGAAACAUGUUCCCAGAGCUCUAUUUAUUGAUCUCGAGCCCACUGUUGCGGUUAUGGUCCACCUAACGAAUCUCGAACAUAUUAAUGAGAACCACAUGCAUUAAGGAACAUAAGGAUUUGGUAAUGAGUAAUCUGGCGAGCCCACUACCAGCACGAAGAAAGGAGCAAAAUGUGGUGGCGACGGAAUCAGAGCAGAUACACGUGUCACACAUGAUGUGUGAUCUGUUUGGAUGAUGUCGAUGUAAACAUCGUUAGGAUUCUGGUGGGAUGCAAGCGUGUGUUAGUAAAGGAUAAAAUUUUAGGGCUUAAAUAUUUGGUAUCAUGCAGUUUUGAUAUUCUUCCGUUUACUUUCGGAUUAACGAGAAAUCUUUUUCAACUCUUAUUAGUUAGUGACAAACACUCGAGUUGCUAUUUCUUUGUGGUAAUUAUUUUCUACCGUCUAGAUCAUGACCUAGCCUCAGUUUGGUCUUUCAUAUUUUUUAUCUGUAUUCUUAUAAUCUUAUAGAAAGGUUGGUGAUAUUUUUUUGAACUUUGGGAUCAAUAUAUACGUUUGCCUUUCUUAUA
Long non-coding RNA from Brassica napus (rape), 1412 nucleotides. RefSeq lists it as uncharacterized. The record is from RefSeq and is a predicted model, not a curated record. The transcript is spliced from 6 exons. Lineage: Eukaryota; Viridiplantae; Streptophyta; Magnoliopsida; Brassicales; Brassicaceae.